UACGGGGGGGGCAAGCGUUGUUCGGAAUUACUGGGCGUAAAGGGCUCGUAGGCGGCCAACUAAGUCGGAUGUGAAAUCCCCAGGCUUAACUUGGGAACUGCAUCCGAUACUGGAUGGCUUGAAUCCGGGAGAGGGAUGCGGAAUUCCAGGUGUAGCGGUGAAAUGCGUAGAUAUCUGGAGGAACACCGGUGGCGAAGGCGGGUCGUCGUGGGC
RNAcentral lists this ribosomal RNA (213 nucleotides) under uncultured bacterium. Its description in RNAcentral is "partial 16S ribosomal RNA". It matches the Rfam family "Bacterial small subunit ribosomal RNA", at positions 524 to 734 of the family's 1533-position model. The record is from RNAcentral.